AUUGAACGGCGGCGGAAUGCUUUACACAUGCAAGUCGAACGGCAGCACGGGGGCAACCCUGGUGGCGAGUGGCGAACGGGUGAGUAAUAUAUCGGAACGUGCCCAGUCGUGGGGGAUAACGUAGCGAAAGUUACGCUAAUACCGCAUACGAUCUAAGGAUGAAAGCGGGGGAUCGCAAGACCUCGCGCGAUUGGAGCGGCCGAUAUCAGAUUAGGUAGUUGGUGGGGUAAAGGCUCACCAAGCCAACGAUCUGUAGCUGGUCUGAGAGGACGACCAGCCACACUGGGACUGAGACACGGCCCAGACUCCUACGGGAGGCAGCAGUGGGGAAUUUUGGACAAUGGGCGCAAGCCUGAUCCAGCCAUUCCGCGUGCAGGACGAAGGCCUUCGGGUUGUAAACUGCUUUUGUACGGAACGAAAAAGCCUUGGCUAAUACCCAGGGUCCAUGACGGUACCGUAAGAAUAAGCACCGGCUAACUACGUGCCAGCAGCCGCGGUAAUACGUAGGGUGCAAGCGUUAAUCGGAAUUACUGGGCGUAAAGCGUGCGCAGGCGGUUAUAUAAGACAAAUGUGAAAUCCCCGGGCUCAACCUGGGAACUGCAUAUGUGACUGUAUAGCUAGAGUGCGGCAGAGGGGGAUGGAAUUCCGCGUGUAGCAGUGAAAUGCGUAGAUAUGCGGAGGAACACCGAUGGCGAAGGCAAUCCCCUGGGCCUGCAC
RNAcentral lists this ribosomal RNA (717 nucleotides) under uncultured bacterium. RNAcentral's name for it is "bacterial SSU rRNA". It matches the Rfam family "Bacterial small subunit ribosomal RNA", at positions 28 to 740 of the family's 1533-position model. The record is from RNAcentral.